UGAAGGAACGUUAAAGACGAUGACGUUGAUAGGCCGGGUGUGUAAGCGCAGCGAUGCGUUGAGCUAACCGGUACUAAUGAACCGUGAGGCUUAACCUU
Molecule: ribosomal RNA, 98 nt
Filed under: Klebsiella pneumoniae
Lineage: Bacteria; Pseudomonadati; Pseudomonadota; Gammaproteobacteria; Enterobacterales; Enterobacteriaceae
Also listed under: 5 other names
Description: partial 23S ribosomal RNA
Rfam family: Bacterial large subunit ribosomal RNA
Source: RNAcentral